CGCCCAGGCCUUGCAUUACUCAUAAAUCAUGUACGGCUAUAGGCACGUAUAAAGUGAGUGUUCUUAAAUCGUCGGUGACUUUCUGUCUGAUAUAUACAGGAAAAUGGCUGAAAAAGAACAUACUACUGAUUCCGCAGCUUACGGGGAUGUGAAAUCAAGAAAGAGCUUUUUUGAAAGUGUUUUCUCCGACAAGUCGGGCAAACUGCCAACACGGACACUGCAGGGAAAAAACAAAACAUCGCCCCAAACAGAAAAAGGCCAGAGUCAUCUUGCCGGAAAUCAAAGUUCAACAGUUGUUGCUAAGAAGGACCGAGACCAAGGCAAAGAGGAGUUGCAUGAUCAGAGGAAAGAUGACAAGGUUGAAGUUGAACAACGUUUAACAAAAACACCCGAGAACAGAAAAACUCGAGAUUGGUUUCCGCACAAUCUUGAAGUUUUUAAAAAGCCGAUGUGUUUAAUAAGCACCGAGGGCGAAAAUAUUCUCAAAGUAGAAGAAGAAACUUUGAAACAGAUCGAAAAGAUCGAUCUUCCGUGCUGCGUGGUGGUCGUCGCAGGGUUGUACAGGACCGGGAAAUCGUACUUGAUGAAUCGACUGGCGGAAGCUCAUUCAGGUUUUGCAUUAGGGGAUACAAUUGAAUCAAAAACUAAGGGAAUAUGGGUUUGGUGCAAAAUGCAUCCGGAGAAAAAGCAAACUGUCCUUAUUCUACUCGAUACAGAGGGACUUGGAGACGUAAAAAAGGGUGAUCAGAAACAUGACAACAGACUCUUUACCCUGGCAGCGCUCCUGUCCAGUACUUUGGUUUACAACAUGAAAGGAACCUUUGAUCAGGACGCGGUUAGCAAGCUGACAUUUGUUUCCGAAAUAGCGAACAACAUUCAAUUUAAAGGCAGAAAACAAGCUGACAACUGCGGACUGAAGCUUAUUCUUCCGACAUUUAUUCUGGUAUUGAGAGAUUUUGCUUUAAAAAUCGUAAUAAAAGGUCGAAAACUCUCCCAAGAUGAAUACCUGGAAGAUUGUUUGAAGAGCGAUUCUACGAGAGAUGAUGAAUUUAACGAACCCCGAGAGGCAAUACGGACAUAUUUUCCUCAACGAAAAUGCUUUACUCUUCCUGCUCCAGGAGACUCGGAAGUCGUUGAAAAUCUGGAAAUGCUUGAAUUUGGCGAUCUUUGUAAGGCGUUUCAAACAAGGACUGCUGAAUUUGUUUCAUUUGUGUACAGCGAAGACCAUAAAAAGCUCGGAUUUGGCAAACCAGUCAAUGGGUCGAAAAAACAUGGACUUAAUUUUCACGAAGCUGAAAUCUGAGAAUGAACGAUCAGUGCAAGAAAAAUGCGCAGUCACACUUACUGAGUUGGAGACCAUGAAGCAAUUCCAAAAACGACUUGAAUCACAGAAGUAUGAGGUUCCGGGAGGCCAUACCAGCUUUAAGACAGAUGUUGAACGCAUUAAACAAGAAUACAUGGCGGCCUUAAAGGAGUUUAGCACUGGAGAGGUACUGACGACUUAUACUAGCUUUUAUCAGCAAUUGUCAGACAAGGAAAUUAACAUUAUCCAAAUGGACAACAAACUGUCAGAAGAUGAAAGAAAAAAACAAGCCGACAACCGCGAGAGAACAAUGAAGUCUAUGGUUGAAGAAAUUAAACAAGAUAACAAACAAUUGCUCGAGAGAUUGGAUAAAGUAAGGCACGCACAACACAAGAAUAUACAAAAGGAACGUAAAGAGAAGUUUGAGGAAGAGAAUGAGGAGCUAAAGAGAAAAUCAGCAAGUUUCACUGAGGAGGAGCGAAAAAGGUUGGCACAACUUGAAACGGAAAAGAUUGAGAUCAAAAACAUGAACGCAUGGGGGAGAUUUAAAUGCCUUUUUACAGGAUAUUGAUUGCUUACAGAAGAAUCUCGAAGUUAGAUUUGUGUCUUAACAAACUCUUUUCUUUUCUAAAAUCUAUAUCCAUGUUAAUUAAAAAUAAAACUAUUCUUGUUCCAUAAAUUGCCAAAAUCCUGAGACCAAAUACGUUAUUUUUGAAUUGAUCGACACGAUAUCAAGGCCGGAAAUGUUUUAUACCACUUGUGCCGACAUUAUGGCAACAACAUAUGUUCAUUAUCAAUAUUUUAACUGCUGUAAAUUCUUUAGGUUAUAGUUUGUUGCCAGCAAUGUCUGUUAAGCCGUUGACAGACUAUGAAGUUGACGGUUACAAGUGAUGUAUACAUCCAUUAAUUCAUAGAAAACUUUGAUUAACCCUAACAGUAAUCACAAUUGUUAUAAUUGUAUUAUUUGUUUCAAGUUGUGCGUGGGUCUUCGUUGAUAGGUGUAUGUAUUUCGGGCUAUCUGCUUAUAUCAUAUAUUGCCGUUUGCUCGAGUACAUCACAUUGAUAAGUGCUAAUGAAUACGUAUUGAUAAAUAACCACUGCGAAAACGGAAAGAAAGUAUUCUUUUCAUUGAAAAUGUUUAUAACCAGGUGGCACAAAUUUGAACGAGUUUUCAAUAAGUUGUCAGGGUUUAUUUCUGAAAUAGCCGAUCAAUGUAGCUCUGGAUCAUCUUCUAAAAAUGCAAAAUGUAGAAUGUUUUUUUUUUCAUUUCGCUCUAUGUACAUUUCAAAAAACAAGAAUAAAAAGAUUAUUUUCAUGACGCGUAUUAAAUCCACAUACGACAUCCACUUCUCGUAUAACCUGUUAUUUAUAAAUGUUAUGUCCAAUGUCAAGCUUUACAACCUGUGUGUUGGUCUCUAUUGUUUUGUUUUGUAUUAUUAUUAUAUGUCCUUCAACCUGUGUAUUGGCUUCUAUUGUUUUGUUUUGUAAUAGUAUUCUAUGGUCUUGAAACCUGUGUAUUGCUUCUAAUUGUUUUGUUUUGUAAAAGUUUUCUUUGGUCUUGAAACCUGUGUAUUGGCUUCUAUUAUAUUGUUUUAAAAAUAGUUUUCUAUGGUCUUGAAACCUGUGUGUUGGUUCUGAUUGUUUUGUUUUUUAAUUAUUUUCUAUGGUCUUGAAACCUGUGUAUUGGUUCUUAUUGGUUUGUUUUGUGAUAAUUUUCUAUGGUCUUGAAACCUGUGUAUUGCUUCUAAUUGUUUUGUUUUGUAAUAAUUUUCUAUGGUCUUGAAACCUGUGUAUUGGUUCUUAUUGUUGUUUUUUUAUAAAAUUUUAUGAUUGUUUAUUGUUUAAAUUUGAUAAUUGGUUUAAAUACCAAAGGCCCCACUGAAAAUAAGCUUUAGGACUUUCCUGCGCAAUCUUUGGUUUCAUAACAUUAUCUACACAUCAUCUCUACUAAACUCAAUUCGUUUACAACAACGACAGUUAUCACAUAAUAUUUUAGUUCUUCAUCUGAUUCAUUACUCGCAUACAUAUGUAUUUAAAAUGUUUCCCCAAGUCCAUCAAGUCUUAAUGCCGAAUAUGAAAUGUCAUUGUAUGUUUACCGGUGAUAUGUAGAAACUAUUAUGUGAAUAAAAAUGAUAAUUCAAAUCUUCAAAAAGUGAACUAUCAAUUUGAUACUUCCCCCACAAUGUUUUUGAAAUUUUAUCCCUAUCUUACUUUCAAAUCAAACGUCAGCACGCACGAGGAUGGGAAUCAAUUUCAAUUUGGCGCACCUUUAUAAAAAAAAACUACAAUGAAUUGUCAUUUAAUGUCCUUUCAAGAAUAUCAUGUAAAGAUAAAUUGUUUGUUUCAUAUUGUGAUUUCUUUAACCUAGCUAACACAAAAACGUAAA
Mya arenaria is the source of this 3689-nucleotide RNA transcript. It is a transcript of the gene named guanylate-binding protein 3-like, with no coding region annotated. NCBI's taxonomy places the organism in Eukaryota, Metazoa, Mollusca, Bivalvia, Myida, Myidae. The record is from RefSeq and is a predicted model, not a curated record. The transcript has 13 exons.